RNAcentral lists this ribosomal RNA (301 nucleotides) under uncultured bacterium. RNAcentral's name for it is "partial 16S ribosomal RNA". It matches the Rfam family "Bacterial small subunit ribosomal RNA", at positions 509 to 807 of the family's 1533-position model. The record is from RNAcentral.
CAGUCGCCACGGUAAAACGGAGGGUGCAAGCGUUAUCCGGAUUUAUUGGGUUUAAAGGGUCCGUAGGCGGAUCUGUAAGUCAGUGGUGAAAUCUCACAGCUUAACUGUGAAACUGCCAUUGAUACUGCAGGUCUUGAGUAAAUUUGAAGUGGCUGGAAUAAGUAGUGUAGCGGUGAAAUGCAUAGAUAUUACUUAGAACACCAAUUGCGAAGGCAGGUCACUAAGAUUUAACUGACGCUGAUGGACGAAAGCGUGGGGAGCGAACAGGAUUAGAUACCCCAGUAGUCCCUGUCUCUUAUAC